ACUAUGCAGGAAGGCUUGCAGUUUGGGAGCAGGAAGUCAGAGUAAACAAGCGUACCCAAACCCAGACAGGCAGGAGGAGAGGAGGAGAGGCGAUGGCGGACACGUGGAGGAUGGAGUUGCUUGACUGUGCGUAAUGGACGUCACACGACAGAAUCAACAACGUGGAGAACUUACAAGAGACAUACUUGUGGACUAAAGGGACAUGGAUAAUCAAGGACUGGACAGACUGUUGCCUCACCACCAUGGUAAAGAUCGACGCCACCGGUGAGUCUGAUGUGGAGAAAAAGAAAGGAUGAGAGGAGAGCGGGAGAGAGAGACAGUGGAUGUGAUGGACAUUCUCCGAAGAGUCUGGCCUUUCAGUAAUUGUGCCUUCAGCGGAGUAGAGGUCAGAGUUUUCUGUCCCUCAGUUGUUCGGAGGACAAAUACACUGGGGGCAGAAUUACCAUGGAGAUGCACUCAGCCUAGCCAAAGGCCCAACAGAGGGAAUUGUCUACAGAAUACUAGCAGUGAGAAAACUCAUUCCGAUGAUCUGGGUCAGAUAGAGCCGCUUCCAUCGACCACAGACAAUUCCAGCUCAAAACGACGACAGAACCUUAAAGAGAGAAGGAGAGAGGGGGUGGUGAGACUGCCUCAAGACAAGAAGCACCACGGAUGAUAA
Non-coding RNA from Paralichthys olivaceus (Japanese flounder), 658 nucleotides. NCBI's taxonomy places the organism in Eukaryota, Metazoa, Chordata, Actinopteri, Pleuronectiformes, Paralichthyidae. The record is from RefSeq and is a predicted model, not a curated record.